Molecule: ribosomal RNA, 506 nt
Filed under: uncultured bacterium
Lineage: Bacteria
Description: partial 16S ribosomal RNA
Rfam family: Bacterial small subunit ribosomal RNA
Source: RNAcentral
AGUGAACGCUGGCGGUAGGCCUAACACAUGCAAGUCGAACGGCAGCACAGGAGAGCUUGCUCUCUGGGUGGCGAGUGGCGGACGGGUGAGGAAUACAUCGGAAUCUACUUUUUCGUGGGGGAUAACGUAGGGAAACUUACGCUAAUACCGCAUACGACCUACGGGUGAAAGCAGGGGAUCUUCGGACCUUGCGCGAUUGAAUGAGCCGAUGUCGGAUUAGCUAGUUGGCGGGGGAAAGGCCCACCAAGGCGACGAUCCGUAGCUGGUCUGAGAGGAUGAUCAGCAACACUGGAACUGAGACACGGUCCAGACUCCUACGGGAGGCAGCAGUGGGGAAUAUUGGACAAUGGGCGCAAGCCUGAUCCAGCCAUACCGCGUGGGUGAAGAAGGCCUUCGGGUUGUAAAGCCCUUUUGUUGGGAAAGAAAUCCAGCUGGUUAAUACCCGGUUGGGAUGACGGUACCCAAAGAAUAAGCACCGGCUAACUUCGUGCCAGCAGCCGCCGUAA